GUCAAGUCAGCAUGGCCUUUAUAUCCUGGGCUACACACACGCUACAAUGGGAAGGGACAAUAGGUUGCGAAACCGCGAGGUGGAGCCAAUCCAGCAAAACUUCCCUCAGUUCAGAUUGCAGGCUGCAACUCGCCUGCAUGAAGUUGGAGUUGCUAGUAAACGCAGGUCAGCCAUACUGCGUUGAAUACGUUCCCGGGGCUU
Molecule: ribosomal RNA, 201 nt
Filed under: uncultured Levilinea sp.
Lineage: Bacteria; Bacillati; Chloroflexota; Anaerolineae; Anaerolineales; Anaerolineaceae
Description: partial 16S ribosomal RNA
Rfam family: Bacterial small subunit ribosomal RNA
Source: RNAcentral